RNAcentral lists this ribosomal RNA (504 nucleotides) under uncultured bacterium. Its description in RNAcentral is "bacterial SSU rRNA". It matches the Rfam family "Bacterial small subunit ribosomal RNA", at positions 8 to 507 of the family's 1533-position model. The record is from RNAcentral.
AGAGUUUGAUCCUGGCUCGAGGAUGAACGCUAGCGGCAGGCCUAAUACAUGCAAGACGAACGGUAAGUUGAGUAGCAAUACUUAGCCAAGAGUGUCGUACGGGUGCGUAACACGUAUGCAACCUACCCUAUACAGGAGGAUAGCCUAGGGAAACCUGGAUUAACCCUCCAUAGUAUUAUUGGAUGGCAUCAUUUGAUAAUUAAAACUGAGGUGGUAUAGGAUGGGCAUGCGUCUGAUUAGUUAGUUGGCGGGGUAAUGGCCCACCAAGACGAUGAUCAGUAGGGGUUCUGAGAGGAAGAUCCCCCACACUGGCACUGAGAUACGGGCCAGACUCCUACGGGAGGCAGCAGUAGGGAAUAUUGGUCAAUGGAUGCAAGUCUGAACCAGCCAUGCCGCGUGCAGGAAGAAGGCCUUCUGGGUUGUAAACUGCUUUUGCCAGGGGAUAAAAUUUCCAUGCGUGGAAAACUGAAGGUACCUGGUGAAUAAGCCACGGCUAACUACGUG